UACGAAGGGGGCUAGCGUUGUUCGGAAUCACUGGGCGUAAAGGGCGCGUAGGCGGCCGAUUAAGUCGGGGGUGAAAGCCUGUGGCUCAACCACAGAAUUGCCUUCGAUACUGAUUGGCUUGAGACCGGAAGGGGUCAGUGGAACUGCGAGUGUAGAGGUGAAAUUCGUAGAUAUUCGCAAGAACACCAGUGGCGAAGGCGGCUGACUGGUCCGGUUCUGACGCUGAGGCGCGAAAGCGUGGGGAGCAAACAGG
This 253-nucleotide ribosomal RNA is filed under the name uncultured bacterium. Its description in RNAcentral is "partial 16S ribosomal RNA". It matches the Rfam family "Bacterial small subunit ribosomal RNA", at positions 524 to 776 of the family's 1533-position model. The record is from RNAcentral.